CGUAGGGUGCAAGCGUUAAUCGGAAUUACUGGGCGUAAAGCGUGCGCAGGCGGUUGUGCAAGACAGAUGUGAAAUCCCCGGGCUCAACCUGGGAAUUGCAUUCGUGACUGCACGGCUAGAGUGUGUCAGAGGGGGGUAGAAUUCCACGUGUAGCAGUGAAAUGCGUAGAGAUGUGGAGGAAUACCGAUGGCGAAGGCAGCCCCCUGGGAUAACACUGACGCUCAUGCACGAAAGCGUGGGGAGCAAACAGGAUUAGAUACCCUGGUAGUCCACGCCCUAAACGAUGUCAACUAGUUGUCGGGUCUUAAUUGACUUGGUAACGCAGCUAACGCGUGAAGUUGACCGCCUGGGGAGUACGGUCGCAAGAUUA
This 370-nucleotide ribosomal RNA is filed under the name uncultured organism. RNAcentral's name for it is "bacterial SSU rRNA". It matches the Rfam family "Bacterial small subunit ribosomal RNA", at positions 526 to 896 of the family's 1533-position model. The record is from RNAcentral.